CUCACCUUUACGCCACAGGAUCACACCAGCAUGCUCCAUCACCACACCAGUGAGGACGGUGCAUCUAUGGAGUGGGUGUACUGAGGAUUUCCCUACGUGUUCCUUUGGGUACGCUAGGUGUUCGUCAGGCACGCUUAGUCUUCUCAUGCCUGUAUAUGGUGGUGUCUGUCAGUCCUUAGCGUCUGACCGUGGUGGGGCUGGUUGUGUGUCACCAGCGAUGUGAGAGGCAGGCGGUGAUGGGCAGAUGUAUUGACGUACUCUUGUGAUUUGAGUGAUGAAGAAAACUGAGAAGAGAGACUUGCUUUGAUGUAUGCGAGAAGCAAGAAGACGGUAAUCACUAAAAGGUGCAUGAGGUGAGGAAUGUGUUGUUUCAUCAUCAUCAUCAUCAUCAUCAUCAGCAGCAGCAGCACGGUACAGUCAUCGCAUUCAUAACAUUGCUUUAUCUAAUCCAUUUGUUUUUAUUUAUGGA
Molecule: long non-coding RNA, 469 nt
Organism: Portunus trituberculatus (swimming crab)
Lineage: Eukaryota; Metazoa; Arthropoda; Malacostraca; Decapoda; Portunidae
Exons: 4
Source: RefSeq, a predicted model, not a curated record